GAUGAACGCUGGCGGCAUGCCUAAUACAUGCAAGUCGAACGAGAGGAAGGAAAGCUUGCUUUUCUGAAUCUAGUGGCGAACGGGUGAGUAACACGUAGGUAACCUGCCCAUGUGCCCGGGAUAACUUCUGGAAACGGAUGCUAAAACCGGAUAGGUAGCAGACAAGCAUUUGACUGCUAUUAAAGUGGCUAAGGCCAUGAACAUGGAUGGACCUGCGGUGCAUUAGCUAGUUGGUGAGGGAACGGCCCACCAAGGCGACGAAGCAUAGCCGGCCGGAGAGAGCGGACGGCCACAUUGGGACUGAGACACGGCCCAAACUCCGACGGGAGGCAGCAGGAGGGAAUUUUCGUCAAUGGGGGGAACCCUGAACGGGCAAUGCCGCGUGAGUGAGGAAGGUCUUCGGAUCGUAAAGCUCUGUUGUAAGAGAAAAACGACAUUCAUAGGGAAUGAUGAGUGAGUGAUGGUAUCUUACCAGAAAGUCACGGCUAACUACGUGCCAGCCGCCGCUGUAA
RNAcentral lists this ribosomal RNA (512 nucleotides) under uncultured bacterium. RNAcentral describes it as "partial 16S ribosomal RNA". It matches the Rfam family "Bacterial small subunit ribosomal RNA", at positions 28 to 523 of the family's 1533-position model. The record is from RNAcentral.